GUUAAGUGGGAAACGAUGUGGGAAGGCCCAGACAGCCAGGAUGUUGGCUUAGAAGCAGCCAUCAUUUAAAGAAAGCGUAAUAGCUCACUGGUCGAGUCGGCCUGCGCGGAAGAUGUAACGGGGCUAAACCAUGCACCGAAGCUGCGGCAGCGACACUAUGUGUUGUUGGGUAGGGGAGCGUUCUGUAAGCCUGUGAAGGUGGCCUGUGAGGGUUGCUGGAGGUAUCAGAAGUGCGAAUGCUGACAUAAGUAACGAUAAAGCGGGUGAAAAGCCCGCUCGCCGGAAGACCAAGGGUUCCUGUCCAACGUUAAUCGGGGCAGGGUGAGUCGACCCCUAAGGCGAGGCCGAAAGGCGUAGUCGAUGGGAAACAGGUUAAUAUUCCUGUACUUGGUGUUACUGCGAAGGGGGGACGGAGAAGGCUAUGUUGGCCGGGCGACGGUUGUCCCGGUUUAAGCGUGUAGGCUGGUUUUCCAGGCAAAUCCGGAAAACCAAGGCUGAGGCGUGAUGA
This 508-nucleotide ribosomal RNA is filed under the name Escherichia coli. RNAcentral's name for it is "partial 23S ribosomal RNA". It matches the Rfam family "Bacterial large subunit ribosomal RNA", at positions 1058 to 1569 of the family's 2925-position model. The record is from RNAcentral. Lineage: Bacteria; Pseudomonadati; Pseudomonadota; Gammaproteobacteria; Enterobacterales; Enterobacteriaceae.